GAAUUCGAUUGAGGCCUGACACAUGCAAGUCGAGGGGUAGAACACUUCGGUGUUUGAGACCGGCGCACGGGUGCGUAACGCGUAUGCAAUCUACCUUGUACAGGGGAAUAGCCCAGAGAAAUUUGGAUUAAUGCCCCAUAGUAUAUAACCUUCGCAUGUUGGUUAUAUUAAAGUUCCAACGGUACAAGAUGAGCAUGCGUCCCAUUAGUUAGUUGGUAAGGUAACGGCUUACCAAGACGAUGAUGGGUAGGGGUCCUGAGAGGGAGAUCCCCCACACUGGUACUGAGACACGGACCAGACUCCUACGGGAGGCAGCAGUGAGGAAUAUUGGUCAAUGGUCGCAAGACUGAAACAGCCAUGCCGCGUGCAGGAAGACGGUCCUAUGGAUUGUAAAGGUGCUUUUAUACAGGAAGAAACCCUCCCACGUGUGGGAGCUUGAC
RNAcentral lists this ribosomal RNA (440 nucleotides) under uncultured bacterium. RNAcentral describes it as "bacterial SSU rRNA". It matches the Rfam family "Bacterial small subunit ribosomal RNA", at positions 34 to 473 of the family's 1533-position model. The record is from RNAcentral.